RNAcentral lists this ribosomal RNA (497 nucleotides) under uncultured bacterium. RNAcentral's name for it is "partial 16S ribosomal RNA". It matches the Rfam family "Bacterial small subunit ribosomal RNA", at positions 28 to 507 of the family's 1533-position model. The record is from RNAcentral.
GAUGAACGCUGGCGGCGUGCCUAAUACAUGCAAGUCGAGCGAACAGACGAGGAGCUUGCUCCUCUGACGUUAGCGGCGGACGGGCGAGUAACACGUGGAUAACCUACCUAUAUGACUGGGAUAAUUUCGGGAAACCGGAUCUAAUACCGGAUAAUAUAUUGAACCGCAGGGUUCAAUAGUGAAAGACGGUUUUGCUGUCACUUAUAGAUGGUUCCGCGCCGCAUUAGCUAGUUGGUAAGGUAACGGCUUACCAAGGCAACGAUGCGUAGCCGACCUGAGAGGGUGAUCGGCCACACUGGAACUGAGACACGGUCCAGACUCCUACGGGAGGCAGCAGUAGGGAAUCUUCCGCAAUGGGCGAAAGCCUGACAGAGCAACACCGCGUGAGUGAUGAAGGUCUUCGGAUCGUAAAGCUCUGUUAUUGGGAAAGAACAAAUGUGUAAGUAACUAUGCACGUCUUGACGGUACCUAAUCAGAAAGCCCCGGCUAACUACGUG